AUUGAACGCUGGCGGCAGGCCUAACACAUGCAAGUCGAACGGUAGCACAGAGAGCUUGCUCUCGGGUGACGAGUGGCGGACGGGUGAGUAACGUCUGGGAAACUGCCCGAUGGAGGGGGAUAACUACUGGAAACGGUAGCUAAUACCGCAUAACGUCGCCAGACCAAAGCGGGGGACCUUCGGGCCUCACGCCACCGGAUGUUCCCAGAUGGGAUUAGCUAGUAGGGGGGGUAAUGGCUCACCUAGGCGACGAUCCCUAGCUGGUCUGAGAGGAUGACCAGCCACACUGGAACUGAGACACGGUCCAGACUCCUACGGGAGGCAGCAGUGGGGAAUAUUGCACAAUGGGCGCAAGCCUGAUGCAGCCAUGCCGCGUGUAUGAAGAAGGCCUUCGGGUUGUAAAGUACUUUCAGCGGGGAGGAAGGCGGUGAAGUUAAUAGCUUCACCGAUUGACGUUACCCGCAGAAGAAGCACCGGCUAACUCCGUGCCAGCCGCCGCGGUAA
This 504-nucleotide ribosomal RNA is filed under the name uncultured bacterium. Its description in RNAcentral is "partial 16S ribosomal RNA". It matches the Rfam family "Bacterial small subunit ribosomal RNA", at positions 29 to 523 of the family's 1533-position model. The record is from RNAcentral.